This 304-nucleotide ribosomal RNA is filed under the name uncultured bacterium. Its description in RNAcentral is "bacterial SSU rRNA". It matches the Rfam family "Bacterial small subunit ribosomal RNA", at positions 202 to 507 of the family's 1533-position model. The record is from RNAcentral.
UGGUGCUUCCGCUCGAGGAGGGGUUNAAGUCCUAUCAGCUUGUUGGUGAGGUAACGGCUCACCAAGGGCGAUGACGGGUAGCCGGACUGAGAGGUUGGCCGGCCACAUGGGAACUGAGACACUGUCCUGACUCCUACGGGAGGCUGCAGUCGAGAAUCUUCUGCAAUGGGCGAAAGCCUGACAGAGCGACGCCGCGUGGAGGAUGAAGGCCCUCGGGUCGUAAACUCCUGUCACAUGUUAUGAAACGCACAGGUCUACCUGUGCGCUGACAAAAGCAUGAGAGGAAGUCACGGCUAACUUCGUG